Molecule: ribosomal RNA, 253 nt
Filed under: uncultured bacterium
Lineage: Bacteria
Description: partial 16S ribosomal RNA
Rfam family: Bacterial small subunit ribosomal RNA
Source: RNAcentral
UACGAAGGGGGCUAGCGUUGCUCGGAAUGACUGGGCGUAAAGGGCGCGUAGGCGGGCAUUUUAGUCAGGCGUGAAAUUCCCGGGCUUAACCUGGGGGCUGCGUUUGAUACGGGGUGCCUAGAGUUUGGAAGAGGGUCGUGGAAUUCCCAGUGUAGAGGUGAAAUUCGUAGAUAUUGGGAAGAACACCGGUGGCGAAGGCGGCGACCUGGUCCUUGACUGACGCUGAGGCGCGAAAGCGUGGGGAGCAAACAGG